UCGAGCGGGCGUAGCAAUACGUCAGCGGCAGACGGGUGAGUAACGCGUGGGAACAUACCUUUUGGUUCGGAACAACACAGGGAAACUUGUGCUAAUACCGGAUAAGCCCUUACGGGGAAAGAUUUAUCGCCGAAAGAUUGGCCCGCGUCUGAUUAGCUAGUUGGUGAGGUAAUGGCUCACCAAGGCGACGAUCAGUAGCUGGUCUGAGAGGAUGAUCAGCCACAUUGGGACUGAGACACGGCCCAAACUCCUACGGGAGGCAGCAGUGGGAAUAUUGGACAAUGGGCGCAAGCCUGAUCCAGCCAUGCCGCGUGAGUGAUGAAGGCCCUAGGGUUGUAAAGCUCUUUUGUGCGGGAAGAUAAUGACGGUACCGCAAGAAUAAGCCCCGGCUAACUUCGUGCCAGCAGCCGCG
Molecule: ribosomal RNA, 412 nt
Filed under: uncultured soil bacterium
Lineage: Bacteria
Description: bacterial SSU rRNA
Rfam family: Bacterial small subunit ribosomal RNA
Source: RNAcentral